AGAGUUUGAUCCUGGCUCAGAGCGAACGCUGGCGGCAGGCUUAACACAUGCAAGUCGAGCGGGCGUAGCAAUACGUCAGCGGCAGACGGGUGAGUAACGCGUGGGAACGUACCUUUUGGUUCGGAACAACACAGGGAAACUUGUGCUAAUACCGGAUAAGCCCCUACGGGGAAAGAUUUAUCGCCGAAAGAUCGGCCCGCGUCUGAUUAGCUAGUUGGUGAGGUAACGGCUCACCAAGGCGACGAUCAGUAGCUGGUCUGAGAGGAUGAUCAGCCACAUUGGGACUGAGACACGGCCCAAACUCCUACGGGAGGCAGCAGUGGGGAAUAUUGGACAAUGGGCGCAAGCCUGAUCCAGCCAUGCCGCGUGAGUGAUGAAGGCCCUAGGGUUGUAAAGCUCUUUU
Molecule: ribosomal RNA, 403 nt
Filed under: uncultured bacterium
Lineage: Bacteria
Description: bacterial SSU rRNA
Rfam family: Bacterial small subunit ribosomal RNA
Source: RNAcentral